UGGGGAAUAUUGCACAAUGGGCGCAAGCCUGAUGCAGCCAUGCCGCGUGUAUGAAGUAGGCCUUCGGGUUGUAAAGUACUUUCAGCGGGGAGGAAGGGAGUAAAGUUAAUACCUUUGCUCAUUGACGUUACCCGCAGAAGAAGCACCGGCUAACUCCGUGCCAGCAGCCGCGGUAAUACGGAGGGUGCAAGCGUUAAUCGGAAUUACUGGGCGUAAAGCGCACGCAGGCGGUUUGUUAAGUCAGAUGUGAAAUCCCCGGGCUCAACCUGGGAACUGCAUCUGAUACUGGCAAGCUUGAGUCUCGUAGAGGGGGGUAGAAUUCCAGGUGUAGCGGUGAAAUGCGUAGAGAUCUGGAGGAAUACCGGUGGCGAAGGCGGCCCCCUGGACGAAGACUGACGCUCAGGUGCGAAGGCGUGGGGAGCAAACAGG
RNAcentral lists this ribosomal RNA (429 nucleotides) under Chloroflexota bacterium. RNAcentral's name for it is "Chloroflexi bacterium partial 16S ribosomal RNA". It matches the Rfam family "Bacterial small subunit ribosomal RNA", at positions 355 to 776 of the family's 1533-position model. The record is from RNAcentral. Lineage: Bacteria; Bacillati; Chloroflexota.